RNAcentral lists this ribosomal RNA (451 nucleotides) under uncultured organism. RNAcentral describes it as "partial 16S ribosomal RNA". It matches the Rfam family "Bacterial small subunit ribosomal RNA", at positions 333 to 800 of the family's 1533-position model. The record is from RNAcentral.
ACACUCCUGCGGGAGGCAGCAGUGGGGAAUAUUGGACAAUGGGCGCAAGCCUGAUCCAGCCAUGCCGCGUGAGUGAUGAAGGCCCUAGGGUUGUAAAGCUCUUUCACCGGUGAAGAUAAUGACGGUAACCGGAGAAGAAGCCCCGGCUAACUUCGUGCCAGCAGCCGCGGUAAUACGAAGGGGGCUAGCGUUGUUCGGAUUUACUGGGCGUAAAGCGCACGUAGGCGGACUAUUAAGUCAGGGGUGAAAUCCCGGGGCUCAACCCCGGAACUGCCUUUGAUACUGGUAGUCUUGAGUUCGAGAGAGGUGAGUGGAAUUCCGAGUGUAGAGGUGAAAUUCGUAGAUAUUCGGAGGAACACCAGUGGCGAAGGCGGCUCACUGGCUCGAUACUGACGCUGAGGUGCGAAAGCGUGGGGAGCAAACAGGAGUAGAAACCCCGGUAGUCCCAUGA